AAAUAGAGGCGCGGGCUUCAUCAGUAGUCGGUCGGAUAUGUGUCCUGUACGGGAAUACACCGACGAAAGGGGAUACCGCCGAGGUUUUUGUAUCUUUCCCGGGGUGCAUCUGCCGGUAUAACGCAGAAUAUGCGUUGUACUGUCGUUUUUAACGGAGAGCUAUUCG
Molecule: non-coding RNA, 166 nt
Filed under: uncultured Ruminococcus sp.
Lineage: Bacteria; Bacillati; Bacillota; Clostridia; Eubacteriales; Oscillospiraceae
Description: Lysine riboswitch
Rfam family: Lysine riboswitch aptamer
About the family: Riboswitches are metabolite binding domains within certain messenger RNAs that serve as precision sensors for their corresponding targets. Allosteric rearrangement of mRNA structure is mediated by ligand binding, and this results in modulation of gene expression. This family includes riboswitches that sense lysine in a number of genes involved in lysine metabolism, including lysC.
Source: RNAcentral